Lactuca sativa (garden lettuce) is the source of this 3864-nucleotide non-coding RNA. NCBI's taxonomy places the organism in Eukaryota, Viridiplantae, Streptophyta, Magnoliopsida, Asterales, Asteraceae. The record is from RefSeq and is a predicted model, not a curated record.
UUGAUAUUAAUUCUAGAGCUUUUUUAAGACUCAAAACACUCACUCACUCAGCGCUCUCUAACAUCGAUCUGACGACCUCGCCUCGCUUCCGACAACCCCUUUCUUACUUCUCCUCAUCGAAGAUCUCAUCUUCAGCUGACCUUAAAUUCCUUUGUUUCCAUCUUUUGCAGAAAACCCAAAUACACGCUCACCCCUUUUUGAUGCUCAGAAACAAAAAAGGGUAAGCGCCUUGGUAUUUUAGAAGAUGUAUUUUGGGGAAUAGGGGAUUUUGGUUCUACGUGUUCUUAUAACCCUGGGAAUCAAGAACCCUGUAUUCUCACACCGGAUUCAUAGUUGAACUCUACCAGAGAGAAAAGUGUACGGAUGAGCCUAAUGGGUCGGGGAAUAGAAGAGGAAGCGCUAGUCCUUCUUCAUAGAAGACUAUGUGAUCUCAAUUUCAUCUUCUCCCUCUUCUCCGAUUCUCCCGACAUCAACUACAGCAAGUUGAAAUUUAUCGUAUCAAAUUCGGUAACUGAGGCUGUAACAAUUCGAUACUGCUUCUGGGUCCUCGAGGAUACGGAAAAAUUGCGGUGUUGGAUUACUCUAUAUCUGUUGUGGUAUCAGUCACAAUGGCUGACCUAAAAGAGCAUCUCCUCCCACCAAAACCUACAUCAGCUAUAAACCUUAGUGAUGCAUCAUAACACCAGAUAAAGUUCUGCUUUUGAAUUCUCUUGAUUGCUAUGUGUUACCAUAUGUGGUGGAAUUACAAAGACGAUUGAAAGCUACAGGGGUUGGUGUGGUGUGGCAAUCUGAAGGGGCAAAGUUGAACAGACGAAUGGGAAAUUCAAAUAGAUCCUUAGGGUACCUGUGCAUGGUUUUUAGGGUUUUUAAGACUACCUUCCAUUGAAGAGAGAUUAAAAAAGAGGUGAUCUCCUUGAAAGAGGUGUUCUUUCUUCUUCAAAUGUAUUAUUUUUGGUCUAUUUAUAUAUGCCCAUUUACAUGUUCAUACAGAUUCUGUCUUUUCAACUUUCAUCAAUAGAUUAUGCAUAUACAAUAUAGAGGUCUUUCACUCUCUUCUUGUAGUUAUAGAUUCCUGAUUUCUAAAACCAAAGAAGUUAUUUCAUCAUUUUAUCUGCAAGAAGUACAUAAGAAUAUUCCAUAGAACAACAUGGCGGAGCUUAUUUCUCGAUCACCUUCAUCAGGUUGUCCAUACUACAAGAAAUCUAGAGAGAAAUCGAGAGAGAGAGAGAGAGACUGUGUGUGUGUGUGUAAAAAUUAAUGAAUAGAAAACUAUCUGCAGUGUGCAAUUUCUUGUGUUGUUUAUUACAGGUUUAAGAGAUAUAAAGUUGAUUCAUUUGCAAUAAAAUGAUAUGUUCGUGGUUGGAAAACAAAAGAAAUUGCAAACUUUGAUUCAUUCUUUGCAUUCACUCUUUGUUGCUUUGUAGUUACACUUGAAAUUUUUUUUCUUUCCUAUGAGUGAGUAGUUCAGGAAGAUAUUCAAGACCUUUUUUUCAUUUAAUUAACCUUGAUCUGUGUUUAGAUGUCUUAGAAAUUCAGGGAUGAUGACCAAUUAUAUUGGGGUAUUCAAAACCUUUUGUUUGGUAACACUUCACCUGAGAGUUUAGGGCUCUAGAAGUUGCUCUUGAGGCUGUUUGUAUAUUUCUGUUGGUGGUGAUGCAGUUGGUAACAGAAGUGGAGCUUCACGAGCUCUUAUGAAGUAUAGGUUGAAGAUCUUCAAUGGUCAAUUUGAAGAGCUUCAUCAAAGACAAUCUCAAUGGACCACUCCUGACACAGAGAUUAGAGUUAGAGAAUCUAUCAGACUGGCAAUUAUUGAAGUCUUGUUGCCUGUAUACAUAUCUUUCAUUAAAUGUUUUGGGGCACUUGAUCGGAUGCUUUGUGAAUUUUUCAAGGGUAAGACUUUGAACAAAGUCCUCUCACAGAGGAGGAUGAUACUGUAGAUAUAAUGGGAUGACAUUAUCAAUUCGUAUCUUCAAUUCAGUCUCGUCUAAAGCAAUGGAUGAUCCAUUUGUGGUUCUAGAAACUGCCUCAACACCUGUCACAUCACCCCCAAGUGUUUUUAUUGAUCCAUUGGAAACAGUUCACAAGAUGAAUAAAUCCGGCAGCACUAAUGUUUGAGUAAGUAGGGGUGUGUUUGAUUUUGAUUACAUUGACCCCCUUCAUGGAUUUGGUAAGCCUGCAACAUUAAGCAUCCCACAUUUGGUGACGUCACUCAAAACUGGCUUAGAAGCAACACAAGAAGCUGCAUUGGACGCACUAUUUCUUCUGAGGCUAGCAUGGUCUGCAUGCCCUACUGAUGUCUCCAAAUCCAGUCGAGCCCACCUCGGUUUCAAGAAAAAGCCGAGUUUUUGUUGCAGUGUUUACCCGGAACAAAAACGGUCAUAAUUAAACGCAUGAAUAAUAUGAAACAUCUCCAUUAGAUAAGUUUGAGACUUUUGCCAUGGGUGGAAGUGGAACACAAGAUAAUGGUGUGGACCAUGUUAAUGGCAAAGAGAUGGAUUCAAACUCAGUUGUUGCUGCAAUGAAAGAUGCCAUAGAAUGGAAUCUGUGAACCAAGCAUGUCCUUUUGGCUGGAGCUUCUCUUGGACUUCUAUACAAGUUCAACCAAGCGUAAGCCAGACCAGAUGAUCAUCUUCAGGUCAAUUCUUUUCUUUGACUUCUGGUCAUUUUAAUAUAUUCUGCUGUCAUUUUCUUUAAACUAAGAACAAAAGCCCAAACCUUUGUUUCUUUGUGUACAUUGGAAACAUCAAGAUUCCUUGUAAUAAUUUAGAAUUUUAUUUGUAAUUGGGACGGUGUGAGCGAGUCGCAGUUCAACCAGGUUUUGAACAUUGAACUGGACCAAAUUAUCGAGUAGGCCUGCAAAUUCCUUGAUGAGAAGUGGAACCCAAAGUUUCUUGUGACAAUUGCUCAGAAGAAUCACCACAGCAAGUUUUUCCAGCAAGGAUCUCAAGACAAUGUCCAGCCUGGAACUGUGAUCGAUAACAAGGUCUGUCAUCCUCGCAACAAUGACUUCUACAUGUACGCAUAGGAUGUAAGGGAAAGAGAACUUGCAAAAGCUUUUAUAAACAAAGAAUCUGUAACUGUAAAACUACAAAGAGACGAUCUACAUGGGUUGUAGAACUUCCUCUUGCAGAAGUACCAGAUUGCUUCUUUUAAUUGAGUAAGCAUCUUGAAGCUGUCAGCAGUGAACAUUUCAAUCUGUGUUGUGUUGGCUUGAAGAAAACAAAAGACGAACAAAAAAUGACAACCCCAAUUUCAGAGAUCAGGGAUUGGUCCAUUGAACUCUGAAAUCAAGCAACAAAAGGUUGUAAAGCAUAGAAAGCAGGCAAGAUUAACUAAAAAAAGCACGCCCUGAAGACUCCAUGUCAAUGGUUGCUGAAAGCUUUCAAAAUAAUGAACAUGUUCACUUGUUGUCCCCAGUUGAUGUAUCUCCUUCUCUUUCGGUGAACAGGUCUGGAAGGCUUGAGAAUAAUGCAGCACAAUACUCGGUUGAUAUCGAGUUAUCUAGCUUAGUUAGUUUCUUAACUUUUGUAAUUAUAAGUAACUAAUUAAUCAUUUCUUAGUUUAUUAGGUCAGAUUACAUAAAAUUCAACUGACAUGUCAGCAUGUCACCAACUUUUAGGUCUUGUCCCUUGAUGAAGAUCAAUUGCAGCAAAUAUUGUAUCUGUAUGAGUAUCUAUGCAUUUGUCAGCUAAGAGAGAAAUAUGGACGAUAUCGCCCUUGGGGGAUACCUAUAUCAUAAAGACCUUUGGGAUGGAAGAUGCAAUGGUGGCAUUAUGCUCAAAACUCUGUGUUAUCUGAUGUUCGUAAAAGAAUGAAGAAAACUUCAUGGAAAUAAUUAGGAGAACGUCUGUAAGUUGUUCUUUC